This 497-nucleotide ribosomal RNA is filed under the name uncultured bacterium. RNAcentral describes it as "partial 16S ribosomal RNA". It matches the Rfam family "Bacterial small subunit ribosomal RNA", at positions 28 to 507 of the family's 1533-position model. The record is from RNAcentral.
GAUCAACGCUGGCGGCGUGCCUAAUACAUGCAAGUCGAGCGAACAGACGAGGAGCUUGCUCCUCUGACGUUAGCGGCGGACGGGUGAGUAACACGUGGAUAACCUACCUAUAAGACUGGGAUAACUUCGGGAAACCGGAGCUAAUACCGGAUAACAUGUUGAACCGCAUGGUUCAACAGUGAAAGACGGUCUUGCUGUCACUUAUAGAUGGAUCCGCGCCGCAUUAGCUAGUUGGUAAGGUAACGGCUUACCAAGGCAACGAUGCGUAGCCGACCUGAGAGGGUGAUCGGCCACACUGGAACUGAGACACGGUCCAGACUCCUACGGGAGGCAGCAGUAGGGAAUCUUCCGCAAUGGGCGAAAGCCUGACGGAGCAACGCCGCGUGAGUGAAGAAGGUCUUCGGAUCGUAAAACUCUGUUAUUAGGGAAGAACAAAUGUGUAAGUAACUAUGCACGUCUUGACGGUACCUAAUCAGAAAGCCACGGCUAACUACGUG